CCUACGGGUGGCAGCAGUAGGGAAUUUUCCACAAUGGGCGAAAGCCUGAUGGAGCAACGCCGCGUGGGUGAAGAAGGUCUUCGGAGCGUAAAACCCUGUUGUUAGAGAAGCAAGUGCGUGAGAGUAACUGUUCACGUUUCGACGGUAUCUAACCAGAAAGCCACGGCUAACUACGUACCAGCAGCCGCGGUAAUGCCUAGGUGGCAAGCGUUAUCCGGAGUUAUUGGGCGGUAAGGGAACGCAGGCGGUCUUUUAAGUCUGAUGUGAAAGCCGUCGGCUUAAACGGAGUACAGCAGUGGAAACGGGGGGACUUGAGUGCAGAAGAGGAGAGUGGAAUGCGAGGUGUAGCGGUGAAAUGCGUAGAUAUAUGGAAGAACACCAGUGGCGAAAGCGGCUCUCUGGUCUGUAACUGACGCUGAGGUUCGAAAGCGUGGGUAGCAAACAGGAUUAGAUACCCGGGUAGUC
This 465-nucleotide ribosomal RNA is filed under the name uncultured bacterium. Its description in RNAcentral is "partial 16S ribosomal RNA". It matches the Rfam family "Bacterial small subunit ribosomal RNA", at positions 338 to 795 of the family's 1533-position model. The record is from RNAcentral.